AGUGAAUGCUGGCGGUAGGCCUAACACAUGCAAGUCGAGCGGCAGCACAGUAAGAGCUUGCUCUUACGGGUGGCGAGUGGCGGACGGGUGAGGAGUACAUCGGAAUCUACUUUUUCGUGGGGGAUCACGUAGGGAAACUUACGCUAAUACCGCAUACGACCUACGGGUGAAAGCAGGGGAUCUUCGGACCUUGCGCGAUUGAAUGAGCCGAUGUCGGAUUAGCUAGUUGGCGGGGUAAAGGCCCACCAAGGCGACGAUCCGUAGCUGGACUGAGAGGAUGAUCAGCCACACUGGAGCUGAGACACGGUCCAGAGUCCUACGGGAGGCAGCAGUGGGGAAUAUUGGGCAAUGGGCGGAAGCCUGAUCCAGCCAUACCGCGUGGGUGAAGAAGGCCUUCGGGUUGUAAAGCCCUUUUGUUGGGAAAGAAAAGCAGCAGGUUAAUACCCCGCUGUUCUGACGGUACCCAAAGAAUAAGCACCGGCUAACUUCGUG
This 492-nucleotide ribosomal RNA is filed under the name uncultured bacterium. RNAcentral's name for it is "partial 16S ribosomal RNA". It matches the Rfam family "Bacterial small subunit ribosomal RNA", at positions 29 to 507 of the family's 1533-position model. The record is from RNAcentral.